GGAGCUCUAGCCACAGCCCUGAAAAUCAGAUAUUAAACUUGUAAACUAUAACGCAUAUAUCACAACAAUGGAUUCCAACAGAAGCAUCGAAGCAUCACUAUUCUAAUAAGUUGAGCUCAUUAGUUAUACUUUUCUAAACUAGAAAAGGUAAUGGUCUUAAUCUAUGUAUAUACUACGACCAAUUCAGGACAGACACAUGUUCCAGUUUGGUUUACCUGUCUUUUCGUUUAGCAAAGAACCGGUGAAGAGAGGCUCUUCUUGCAAUGCGUUCCACGACUUGAUGUUCCUCUUUUGUUUGACGAUCAUCGUUGUUUCCAGAACUCGUGGGUUCAUUCAGAUCAGGAAUCACAACGUUGCGUUCGUUGUUAAUGUUCAUAUCAAGAUUCUGAGUCUUCUUUGAGUCAACAAGCAAUUGGAUUCUCCCCAACCAUAAUCUCAAAGGCAGUGAUUUUAUCAGCCACCGUCCCAGACUUCUGAGCAGAAAUAACCAUCUUCAUAUCUCCACUCUUCCCUUUCGACGCCACAAAGUCCUCAGCGUACUGCCACAUCAGCCUCUCCCCCAUCUCCCUCUUCACCUCCACCACACCCAUCACAUCCCCCACCGCCACUUUCCUGCCAAAGACCUUCUCCUCCAGCUCCUCCGCGUCGUUAUACCACUCCGAGCUCAGCAAACCCGCUUUCACCAACGGAAGCUUAGGCAAAGCCUUGAACUUUUCGAACCGCUUCGCCUUGAACCCACUGUUCUCGUCCUCAAUCGAUAAAAAAUCAGCCUUUGGCUUAGGGUUCACCGUCUGCUUCGCCGGAGCUGCGUCUUUAGGGGUUUGCUUCUUAGCUUCCUUUGGAUUGUUCUUGACUGCGUCUCCUUCCUUCUUAGGGUUCUUACGUUUCUGGGCUUUUGGGGGUUUGCGGAAAUCAGAGUCGUUGAAGCCUGAAGAAGGGAGAGAUGAAGGUAAGCCGAGAGAGGAGGCGAAUGAAGCGAUCUCGGAUGUUGUGAGAGCAUUCAUCUCCUUCGUUGGCUUUGAUUCCGACAUGAUUAGGGUUUAAUCGAUCUCUCUUUUGGGAUUCUACAAAAGCUUUAAGCUGCUGGUUAGGGUUUUAGAAAGAGCACAAGGAAGCAGACGAGAGUGGCAUAAGUGUAAAUUACGACUUUUAGAGCCCAAUCCCGAACUGUAGAGAUUAUUAAGAUUCAAGGCCCAAAUUUGUAAGGACUUAGGAUUGAGGCCCAAACUCUAAAGACUCGGUGAUAGCGUUUUUACCUAUAGGCAGAUACUAAUGCCUUCAUUUCAUCUUGGACAUUCCUGAGUUGACAUUUUAGUGAAGUAGUUUAAUUUUGAAGCAUAUUGUAGAGUGAAAUGAUAUUUAAAUCUUUUUGUUUUACAAGCGGGAUCCCUUGUAAGAAUGCAAAAUCCAAUUAACUUACCACAUGAUUAGAAUUUGAAUGGUUUCCUACUAAAUAUUCUUUGCCUUUAAAAUCUGAGGACCAGCCUUGCACAUGGAUUUACAUAGAAUUAGCUUAUGCUUUUGAAAUGCACAUCCAUGCAUGGUUAAAAUGGCUAAGUUCAGUGGUCAUACAACAAGUGUUCUAUGUAUAUUCCAAUAAGUUUUUUUUUUUUUAACACCAUAUUCCAAUAAGUUGUACCGUCACUUCAGCAGCUGGAGACAAGACUUCGGGGGUUCUAUAAUGUUUUUGGAAUAGAUUCCACUAUCUUCCGUCACAUAAGAAUAUAAACGACAAUUCAAAUUAUAAACAUAUAUUUAGAAACGAGUAUGUAUGUAUGACUACGUAAUACAACCACAAAGAAUCAAAACAUUUAUUAUGUGGCUUCGAAUCCUAAAUAAGUUAAACUCCAAACAUGCCCUUUUAUAUGUCCUAAAGCUUGAGUUCGAGAUCUUUUGAACACCGUUCUUCUUCGUCCACUUCCAUCGACAUAUCGUUAUGUCUCUGUGGUUUUGAGGGUGUUGCAGGCUGUUGUGAGGGUUGUCCUGCCUCUACUGAUGGACCGACCAUUUGUGGCUUGGGAGGAAGAUGACCACCGUUUUGGUUCACUUGAUACGGAGCUCUAGCCACAGCCCUGAAAAUCAGAUAUUAAACUUGUAAACUAUAACGCAUAUAUCACAACAAUGGAUUCCAACAGAAGCAUCGAAGCAUCACUAUUCUAAUAAGUUGAGCUCAUUAGUUAUACUUUUCUAAACUAGAAAAGGUAAUGGUCUUAAUCUAUGUAUAUACUACGACCAAUUCAGGACAGACACAUGUUCCAGUUUGGUUUACCUGUCUUUUCGUUUAGCAAAGAACCGGUGAAGAGAGGCUCUUCUUGCAAUGCGUUCCACGACUUGAUGUUCCUCUUUU
Molecule: long non-coding RNA, 2347 nt
Filed under: Brassica napus (rape)
Lineage: Eukaryota; Viridiplantae; Streptophyta; Magnoliopsida; Brassicales; Brassicaceae
Description: long non-coding RNA (BNAP_LNC019261)
Source: RNAcentral